UUCUUUGGUUGGCUUCAGCCACGUAUACAGUGAAACUGCGAAUGGCUCAUUAAAUCAGUUAUCGUUUAUUUGAUAGUACUUUACUACUUGGAUAACCGUGGUAAUUCUAGAGCUAAUACAUGCUAAAAAUCCCGACCUCCGGAAGGGAUGUAUUUAUUAGAUAAAAAACCAAUGCCUUCGGGCUCCUUGGUGAUUCAUGAUAACUUAACGAAUCGCAUGGCCUUGCGCCGGCGAUGGUUCAUUCAAAUUUCUGCCCUAUCAACUUUCGAUGGUAGGAUAGUGGCCUACCAUGGUUUCAACGGGUAACGGGGAAUUAGGGUUCGAUUCCGGAGAGGGAGCCUGAGAAACGGCUACCACAUCCAAGGAAGGCAGCAGGCGCGCAAAUUACCCAAUCCCAAUUCGGGGAGGUAGUGACAAUAAAUACUGAUACAGGGCUCUUUUGGGUCUUGUAAUUGGAAUGAGUACAAUUUAAAUCCCUUAACGAGGAACAAUUGGAGG
RNAcentral lists this ribosomal RNA (498 nucleotides) under Arthrobotrys microscaphoides. RNAcentral's name for it is "SSU rRNA". It matches the Rfam family "Eukaryotic small subunit ribosomal RNA", at positions 56 to 554 of the family's 1831-position model. The record is from RNAcentral. Lineage: Eukaryota; Fungi; Ascomycota; Orbiliomycetes; Orbiliales; Orbiliaceae.